This is a long non-coding RNA of Crotalus tigris (Tiger rattlesnake), 2075 nucleotides long. RefSeq lists it as uncharacterized. The record is from RefSeq and is a predicted model, not a curated record. The transcript is spliced from 3 exons. NCBI's taxonomy places the organism in Eukaryota, Metazoa, Chordata, Lepidosauria, Squamata, Viperidae.
UAAAUUUAGGAUUGAUGGAGGAGAAAUGAAACAAAAAGCUGAGCACUAAAUUGCAUAGAACAAAAUACAGACAUAACAUGAAGAAAUGGUUAUACUACUCGUAUACCUAUGCUUUCCUCCAAGCUAUAAUUAUCUGCAGCACCAUCUCUGGAGAAUAUGUAUAUGUGCCCUUCAACUAAAAUUUUACACUUCAACAAUUCUGGCCUGUAAAUUGCAAUUACAUUCUCAGAGAGGUAAGCUCCUAUUAGAAUCAGCUGACUGUGCUGUCAACUUUUCUCUGUUUCUUUUCUCCCUCAAUAUUAAUUAUGUAUGCUUUCCCCAAAUAUUUAAAGAAGCAUAAAUCAAAGAAUAACUAUGUUUCUAUCUGCCUAUUUUUUUCAGAAAUGCUAAAUCAUCCAAGUUGCUGUUAUGUUAUGAACCGAACCUUCUCACACAUCCCUUUUCCAUUUCAACACAUUUUCAAACGUUUGCUUUUUCCAUCCUACAAAUCCUACCCUGGAAAUAUGAGAUGGUAUAGACUAGAGGACUCGUCAAUAGUGUUUUCCAGUGGGAGUUAUGUGUCAGAAUUUUUCACUCCGAAACACUUUUAAACUACCCUUCAGGAAACAGAAUGUACAAUAACACUGGGGCAAUGAUAAGUCCAAAACAACAUAUGGGAUAAGAGAGAAGUCAUCCAUUCACAUGCCCAUCUAAUAUAAUUCUUUCCUCGUAGGGAAGCUGGCUCACUAUAUUUUUUUUAUUUGUAACAGGUGUUCUCAAAAGAGAACAUAUUUAUGUAUCUCUCUGUCACAUUGUUUUCAGGAGGGAAUAUGAGUACAAAAUUUCCUAUUAGUUCUGAAAUCAGCAGUUUUUAUCAUUUAGAAGCUGCAAAAUGCAAUAGCUAAUCUUUCUAAAGAUUGGAAAACAAAAGCCCUCACUCAAAUCUGAAUACUCUUUCAACUAUUAGGUAACUGCCAGCAAUGCAAUCUCUACCUUUCAAUUUUUGACAUACCUGAGACAAACAUGAUAUCCCUGGGCCCCACGGUAUGGUGGGACUUUUCAAAGUCUUUGUGAGCUGAAUAAAUUACCUUUGUUCAGCUGUCACUAUAGCAAAAAUUGCAAGGUAACUGCUCUGGAGAAUUGUGGGAACCUCCACUUCAUUCCACUUACCCACUCCAUAGAGACGCACUUCUCACUUGAACCCAAGGCAUUUUAACGUUCCCCCCACCCCCAAGCAAAUGCAGGGAAGAAAUGGCAAAUCCAGGGGAAGGAUAUUGACUGACUGCCAUUUUUGCAUUUUUCCUGAUUGACUAGCUAGCCAGCUAUAUGCAAAUUCAGGGAACAUAGCAAGACAUGCUGCAGAGGCUGUUGUUUGUGGAUGGAUGCAUUUACUGGGUGCAUUUACUGUACAGUCAAGACUCAACAAAUAAUUAUUGGUACUGUUUAAAUCUGCUGUUACAGCACUGCCUCCAGCUGCUUUUUAACAAUGAAGGAAGAACAGUAUAAAGAAAAGGGAGGUUUUUACUGGUAGAAACAAAAUACGUUUAUCAACCUGAUGUGCUGCCAUGAUACUCCUGCAAGAUAUAGUGUAAACCUGUGUAUCUGACCUUGCACUAAGGCUGCAGUUGGCAUAUUCCAUCUUAAACCACUUUAGCUAUAGCUCAGUACAUAUUAACUUUGACAUUUAAAGAUGCGCUAGCUGUCCAAAUAGUACCAUAAAAACACAAUCUUACUUCUCAUUCAAAGUAUAAUGCAGAAUUAUUAGAGCAUGGUACUGCAAAAGUUUCCAUUCAUUGUCAUCAAGCAAAAUCCUUGGUGGUCUUACUGUUGUAGAACAGAUUUACUGUUGCUGGUUGAAGAAACAGACCAACCUGCAUUCAUACACACACACACACACACACACACACACACACACACACACGGCGGAUAAAAUUUUAUCUUUCCUUUUAGGAUCUCGAAUGUAUGCAAACAACAUGGAACAAAUAAGAUCAUAAUUGGACUAUAUUUAAGACUCAAUGUUUUGGUAGAAAAGUUUAGGAUAUGCUUAAAUUAGUGUGACCCAAAAGUCCUAAACUAUGACCUUUCUCUAUAAUAAA